GAAAGUAAGCAAGGGCAGACGGUGGAUGCCUUGGCUCUCGGAGGCGACGAAGGACGUGAUAAGCUGCGAAAAGCUCGGGGGAGGCGCAAAUAGCCCUUGAUCCCGGGAUAUCCGAAUGGGGCAACCCGGCAGGCUGAAGGCCUGCCAUCCCGUAAGGGAGGCGAACGUGGGGAACUGAAACAUCUAAGUACCCAUAGGAGGAGAAAAUAAACAAUGAUUCCGUAAGUAGUGGCGAGCGAACACGGAAGAGCCCAAACCCGUGCCGUCUAGGCGACACGGGGGUUGUAGGACCACGACGUGGCAAGAUAGAGUCAAGUGGAACGCCUUGGAAAAGGCGACCGUAGAGGGUGAUAGUCCCGUACACGACUGACGAUUGAAGCCUAGUGGCAUCCUGAGUAGCGCGGGGCACGAGAAAUCUUGCGUGAAACUGCGGGGCCCAUCCCGUAAGGCUAAAUACUCCCGAGAGACCGAUAGCGAACCAGUACCGUGAGGGAAAGGUGAAAAGAACCCCGAGCAGGGGAGUGAAAUAGACCCUGAACCCGUCUGCCUACAAGCGGUCGGAGCAUCGUCAAGAUGUGACGGCGUGCCUUUUGCAUAAUGAACCUACGAGUUACCUUCCCCGGCAAGGUUAAGUACCUAAGGUACGGAGCCGAAGCGAAAGCGAGUCUGAAUAGGGCGGCCAGUCGGGGGGGGUAGACGCGAAACCGAGUGAUCUACCCUUGGCCAGGUUGAAGGUUGGGUAACACCAACUGGAGGACCGGAUGGGUAAGCGUUGAAAAGCUUUCCAAUGAGCUGAGGGUAGGGGUGAAAGGCUAAUCAAACUCGGAGAUAGCUCGUACUCCCCGAAAUGCAUUUAGGUGCAGCCUCUUUAUAGUAUAUCGUGAGGUAGAGCGACUGAUUGGAUGCGAGGGCUUCACCGCCUAUCAAGUCCAGAUAAACUCCGAAUGCGCGAUAUAUAUUUAAAGGGAGUGAGGGCGCGGGUGCUAAGGUCCGUGUCCGAGAGGAGAAGAAUCCAGACCACCGGCUAAGGCCCCCAAAUGAUCGUUGAGUUGAACUAACGAGGUCGGAUCGCAGAGACAGCUAGGAUGUUGGCUUGGAAGCAGCCAUUCAUUUAAAGAGUGCGUAACAGCUCACUAGUCGAGCGAUCUGGCGUGGAUAAUAAUCGGGCAUAAACGAUCUGCCGAAGCCGUGGAUGUCGUAAGACAUGGUAGGGGAGCAUUCCAUGCUGCGUCGAAGAUGAGGGAUGACCCUUGUUGGAGCGCAUGGAAAAGCAAAUGUAGGUAUGAGUAACGAUAAGGGGGGCGAGAAACCCCCCCGCCGAAAGACCAAGGUUUCCUGAUCAACGCUAAUCGGAUCAGGGUGAGUCGGGACCUAAGGCAAAGCCGAACGGCGCCGCCGAUGGAAGAAUGGGUUAAUAUUCCCAUACUGCCUCAUGGAGUGACGUGGAGACGGAGAAGUGACAGUCCUGCCGGCUGACGGAAUAGCCGGUUGAAGGGUGUAGAUAUUGAUUCCCGUAGGCAAAUCCGCGGGGAGAGUCGAACCUGACAGUAUACCGAGUACUUGUACGAGGUAAUAUGGACGUAACCAUGCUCCCGAGAAAAUCCGCUAAACUUAUCCAUGCGGCACCCGUACCGUAAACGGACACACGUGGUCGGGUUGAGAAUACUGAGGCGCUCGAGUGACUCACGGUUAAGGAACUAGGCAAAUUGACCCUGUAACUUCGGGAUAAAGGGUCCUCGUCGUAAGGCGAGGCGCAGAGAAUAGGUCCAGGCAACUGUUUAACAAAAACACAUGGCUGUGCUAAAUGGAAACAUGACGUAUACAGCCUGACACCUGCCCGGUGCUGGAAGGUUAAGAGGAGAUGUCAUCGCAAGAGAAGCGUUGAAUUGAAGCCCCAGUAAACGGCGGCCGUAACUAUAACGGUCCUAAGGUAGCGAAAUUCCUUGUCGGGUAAGUUC
RNAcentral lists this ribosomal RNA (1958 nucleotides) under human gut metagenome. RNAcentral describes it as "bacterial LSU rRNA". It matches the Rfam family "Bacterial large subunit ribosomal RNA", at positions 1 to 1983 of the family's 2925-position model. The record is from RNAcentral.